This is a non-coding RNA of Hordeum vulgare subsp. vulgare (domesticated barley), 115 nucleotides long. The record is from Rfam. Lineage: Eukaryota; Viridiplantae; Streptophyta; Magnoliopsida; Poales; Poaceae.
CUAGUACUCCCUCCGUCCGGAAUUAGUUGACGCUCAAAUGGAUGUAUAUAGCACUGCAAUAUGUCUAGAUACAUCCGUUUGAGCGUCAACUAAUUCCGGACAGAGGAAGUACAUG